Klebsormidium nitens is the source of this 79-nucleotide non-coding RNA. NCBI's taxonomy places the organism in Eukaryota, Viridiplantae, Streptophyta, Klebsormidiophyceae, Klebsormidiales, Klebsormidiaceae. The record is from Rfam.
GCCGCUAUGGUGAAAUGGUAGACACGCUGCCCUUAGGAGGCAGUGCGCGAGCAUCUCGGUUCGAGUCCGAGUGGCGGCA